AUUCUUCUUCUUCUUUUUGACGU
Molecule: small RNA, 23 nt
Filed under: Arabidopsis thaliana (thale cress)
Lineage: Eukaryota; Viridiplantae; Streptophyta; Magnoliopsida; Brassicales; Brassicaceae
Description: ATSL254310
Source: RNAcentral